This 495-nucleotide ribosomal RNA is filed under the name uncultured bacterium. RNAcentral's name for it is "bacterial SSU rRNA". It matches the Rfam family "Bacterial small subunit ribosomal RNA", at positions 1 to 507 of the family's 1533-position model. The record is from RNAcentral.
UAGACGAGUUUGAUCCUGGCUCAGAGUGAAUGCUAGUAAUAUGCCGAAUACAUGCAAGUCGAACGAAUCGAAAAGAUUAAGUGGCGGACGGGUGAGUAACGCGUGGGAAUCUGCCUUCUAGUGGGGGAUAGCCCGGAGAAAUCCGGAUUAAUACCGCAUACGCCCUACGGGGGAAAGCCGGGGAUCUUCGGACCUGGCGCUAGUAGAUGAGCCCGCGUGAGAUUAGCUUGUUGGUGGGGUAUGGCCUACCAAGGCAACGAUCUCUAGCUGGUCUGAGAGGACGAUCAGCCACACUGGGACUGAGACACGGCCCAGACUCCUACGGGAGGCAGCAGUGGGGAAUAUUGGACAAUGGGCGAAAGCCUGAUCCAGCAAUGCCGCGUGUGUGAAGAAGGCCUGAGGGUUGUAAAGCACUUUCAAUCGUGAAGAAAAGUUGCAGGCUAAUACCCUGUGACCUUGACGUUAACGAUACAAGAAGCACCGGCUAACUCCGUG